RNAcentral lists this ribosomal RNA (494 nucleotides) under uncultured bacterium. Its description in RNAcentral is "partial 16S ribosomal RNA". It matches the Rfam family "Bacterial small subunit ribosomal RNA", at positions 29 to 505 of the family's 1533-position model. The record is from RNAcentral.
AACGAACGCUGGCGGCGCGUCUUAAGCAUGCAAGUCGAACGGCAAGAGAGGAGCUUGCUUCUCUCCUAGAGUGGCGGACUGGUGAGGAACACGUGGGUAAUCUACCCUUAAGAUGGGGAUAGCUGCUAGAAAUAGCAGGUAAUACCGAAUACACUCGGCAUAUCACAAGAGGUGUUGAGGAAAGGAAGCUACGGCUUCGCUUGAGGAUGAGCUUGCGUCCCAUUAGCUAGUUGGUGAGGUAAAGGCCCACCAAGGCGACGAUGGGUAUCCGGCCUGAGAGGGUGAACGGACACAUUGGGACUGAGAUACGGCCCAAACUCCUACGGGAGGCAGCAGCUAAGAAUAUUCCGCAAUGGACGGAAGUCUGACGGAGCGACGCCGCGUGGAUGAAGAAGGCUGAAAAGUUGGAAAAUCCUUUUGUUGAUGAAGAAUAAGGGUGAGAGGGAAUGCUCAUCUGAUGACGGUAAUCGACGAAUAAGCCCCGGCUAAUUACG